AUUGAACGCUGGCGGCAGGCUUAACACAUGCAAGUCGAGCGGGGAAGGGUAGCUUGCUACCUAACCUAGCGGCGGACGGGUGAGUAAUGCUUAGGAAUCUGCCAUUUAGUGGGGGACAACAUUCCGAAAGGAAUGCUAAUACCGCAUACGUCCUACGGGAGAAAGCAGGGGAUCUUCGGACCUUGCGCUAAAUGAUGAGCCUAAGUCGGAUUAGCUAGUUGGUGGGGUAAAGGCCUACCAAGGCGACGAUCUGUAGCGGGUCUGAGAGGAUGAUCCGCCACACUGGGACUGAGACACGGCCCAGACUCCUACGGGAGGCAGCAGUGGGGAAUAUUGGACAAUGGGCGGAAGCCUGAUCCAGCCAUGCCGCGUGUGUGAAGAAGGCCUUAUGGUUGUAAAGCACUUUAGGCGAGGAGGAGGCUACUUAGAUUAAUACUCUAGGAUAGUGGACGUUACUCGCAGAAUAAGCACCGGCUAACUCUGUGCCAGCAGCCGCAGUAA
This 501-nucleotide ribosomal RNA is filed under the name uncultured bacterium. RNAcentral's name for it is "partial 16S ribosomal RNA". It matches the Rfam family "Bacterial small subunit ribosomal RNA", at positions 30 to 523 of the family's 1533-position model. The record is from RNAcentral.